RNAcentral lists this ribosomal RNA (253 nucleotides) under uncultured bacterium. RNAcentral's name for it is "partial 16S ribosomal RNA". It matches the Rfam family "Bacterial small subunit ribosomal RNA", at positions 524 to 776 of the family's 1533-position model. The record is from RNAcentral.
UACGUAGGGGGCGAGCGUUGUCCGGAAUUACUGGGCGUAAAGGGCGCGCAGGCGGUCGCUCAAGUCGCGUGUGAAAGCCCCCGACUCAACUGGGGAGGGUCACGCGAUACUGAUCGACUGGAAGGCAGGAGAGGGUAGUGGAAUUCCCGGUGUAGUGGUGAAAUGCGUAGAUAUCGGGAGGAACACCAGUGGCGAAGGCGACUACCUGGCCUGUUCUUGACGCUGAGGCGCGAAAGCUAGGGGAGCAAACGGG